UGGGGAAUAUUGCACAAUGGGCGCAAGCCUGAUGCAGCAACGCCGCGUGAACGAUGAAGGUCUUCGGAUCGUCACGUUCUGUUGCAGGGUAAGUUAAUGACGGUACCCUGUGAGGAACCUCCGUCUAACUACGUGCCAGCAGCCGCGGUCAUACGUCGGGGGCUAGCGUUAUCCGGAUUUACUGGGCGUAAAGGGUGCGUAGGUGGUCUUUCAAGUCGGUGGUUAAAGGCUACCGCUCAACCGUAGUUAGCCUCCGAAAUUGGUAGACUUGAGUGCAGGAGAGGAAAGUGGAAUUCCCAGUGUAGCGGUGAAAUGCGUAGAAAUUAGGAGGAACACCAGUAGCGAAGGCGGCUUUAUGGACUGCAAAUGACACUGAGGCACGAAAGCGUGGGUAGCAAACAGG
This 403-nucleotide ribosomal RNA is filed under the name Verrucomicrobiota bacterium. RNAcentral describes it as "Verrucomicrobia bacterium partial 16S ribosomal RNA". It matches the Rfam family "Bacterial small subunit ribosomal RNA", at positions 355 to 776 of the family's 1533-position model. Lineage: Bacteria; Pseudomonadati; Verrucomicrobiota. The record is from RNAcentral.